CCUACGGGUGGCAGCAGUGAGGAAUAUUGGUCAAUGGGCUUACGCCUGAACCAGCCAAGUCGCGUGAGGGAAGACUGCCCUAUGGGUUGUAAACCUCUUUUGUCAGGGAGCAACGCCGGCUACGUGUAGCCGGUCUGAGAUUACCUGAAGAAAAAGCAUCGGCUAACUCCGUGCCAGCAGCCGCGGUAAGACGGAGGAUGCGAGCGUUAUCCGGAUUUAUUGGGUUUAAAGGUUGCGUAGGCGGGCAUUUAAGCCGGCGGUCAAAUGUCGGGGCUCAACCCCGGCCUGCCGUCGGAACGGGGUGCCGUGAGUGGGCGAGAAGUAUGCGGAAUGCGUGGUGUAGCGGUGAAAUGCAUAGAUAUCACGCAGAACCCCGAUUGCGAAGGCAGCAUACCGGCGCGCUACUGACGCUGAGGCACGAAAGUGCGGGUAUCGAACAGGAUUAGAUACCCCUGUAGUC
This 460-nucleotide ribosomal RNA is filed under the name uncultured bacterium. RNAcentral describes it as "partial 16S ribosomal RNA". It matches the Rfam family "Bacterial small subunit ribosomal RNA", at positions 338 to 795 of the family's 1533-position model. The record is from RNAcentral.